RNAcentral lists this ribosomal RNA (449 nucleotides) under uncultured bacterium. RNAcentral's name for it is "partial 16S ribosomal RNA". It matches the Rfam family "Bacterial small subunit ribosomal RNA", at positions 29 to 523 of the family's 1533-position model. The record is from RNAcentral.
AACGAACGCUGGCGGCAUGCCUACCACAUGCAAGUCGAACGAAGGCUUCGGCCUUAGUGGCGCACGGGUGAGUAACGCGUGGGAAACUGCCUAUUGGUGGGGAAUAACGACGGGAAACUGUCGCUAAUACCGCAUAAGCCCUUCGGGGGAAAGAUUUAUCGCCGAUAGAUGUGCCCGCGUCCGAUUAGCUAGUUGGUGAGGUAAUGGCUCACCAAGGCGACGAUCGGUAGCUGGUCUGAGAGGAUGAUCAGCCAAACUGGGACUGAGACACGGCCCGGACUCCUACGGGAGGCAGCAGUGGGGAAUAUUGGACAAUGGGCGAAAGCCUGAUCCAGCAAUGCCGCGUGAGUGAUGAAGGCCUUAGGGUUGUAAAGCUCUUUCGGGUGGGACGAUGAUGACGGUACCACCAGAAGAAGCCCCGGCUAACUUCGUGCCAGCCGCCGCUGUAA